UUAUAUAUAUAUUAAAUGUAUUUUAUAUUGCAUUUAUAGCGGAUACUGGUGGCAUUAUCGUGAUCUGUUUGCUAGUUAAAGUCCGUUACUUUCCACACUGUCAUCGUCGCCACUGCAAACCAAUGAAUUACAGACUACGAGACGACUCCACGGUAUAAGGCAAAAAAGAAAAAAAAAAAGAAAGGAGGAGAUAGGAAGCGAAAAAAAGAAAGAAAAGGUGUACAAUGUUAAACGGAGCCUUUGAUAAAUUAAUUAAAGAUGAAUUAUGCAAAAAAGUUCGCUUUUAACUGGAUCUCUUUAACCAAAGAUUAACGAAGUUCUUUCGACGAUUCACGCCUGUUCCAGCCCGGUGCAAUGCAAUUAUGCUUGAAACAGUUGGAAAAUUAUCUUACAUCUCUAACCCUUGUUCACUAUCUGUUACGCUAUUUCGAUUUCUUUCGAAAAAGAGACGAAGAAGGAGAUAAAAAAAAAAAAAAAAA
Molecule: long non-coding RNA, 479 nt
Organism: Apis mellifera (honey bee)
Lineage: Eukaryota; Metazoa; Arthropoda; Insecta; Hymenoptera; Apidae
Exons: 2
Source: RefSeq, a predicted model, not a curated record